UACACACAAUCUUGACACUCAGUGACAGAGAUUAAUUUCAAAUCACAAAGAAAACAAAUGGGCUGAGAUAAAAGGGAGGAACUAUAUUAGCUAGGGGUCAGGGGACCUCUCCAAGGAGGUGAUAUUUAAAUGAAAAUGAGAGUAUAGAGAAGAGAGGGUGAAACUUGAGCCAGCAACUAAUCAAACCUCAUUGAAAACAGUUGCUUUGGGGGAAUGAGUCAGUGGAGGAAAGACCAGGGAGCAGAAUGUGGAAAGAGAAGGGUCAAGAAUGGAAGAAUUGUGUAAUUUGUUGUCCGUCUCUCCCCUCAGGAGCAGUCCAGGGAGAUGAUACAGCUGCCUGGUUGUUGGUCACCAGGGCUGUUGGACACCUGUGUGGAGGACCUGGGAGAAGUCUUUUUCUCCACACUUGCUCCUUUCCUGCCAGGAAAUUCCCACUUAAUUACAUUGAGGACAUCACCACCAUGAUCAUACUUGUUGAUAUGGUUUGGCUGUGUCCGCACCCAAAUCUCAUCUCGAAUGGUAGCUCCUGUAAUUCCCACGUGUCAUGGGAGGGGCCCAGUU
Molecule: long non-coding RNA, 561 nt
Filed under: Homo sapiens (human)
Lineage: Eukaryota; Metazoa; Chordata; Mammalia; Primates; Hominidae
Description: HSALNT0215423
Source: RNAcentral